CUGUUUCGGGGCUGAAACGAUCUCAACCUAUCUCAAACUUUAAAUGGGUAAGAAGCCCGGCUCGCUGGCGUGGAGCCGGGCGUGGAAUGCGAGUGCCUAGUGGGCCACUUUUGGUAAGCAGAACUGGCGCUGCCCAGUGAA
This is a non-coding RNA of Microcebus murinus (gray mouse lemur), 141 nucleotides long. Lineage: Eukaryota; Metazoa; Chordata; Mammalia; Primates; Cheirogaleidae. The record is from RefSeq and is a predicted model, not a curated record.